RNAcentral lists this ribosomal RNA (468 nucleotides) under uncultured bacterium. RNAcentral's name for it is "partial 16S ribosomal RNA". It matches the Rfam family "Bacterial small subunit ribosomal RNA", at positions 28 to 507 of the family's 1533-position model. The record is from RNAcentral.
GACGAACGCUGGCGGCGUGCUUAACACAUGCAAGUCGAACGGAAAGGCCCUGCUUUUGUGGGGUGCUCGAGUGGCGAACGGGUGAGUAACACGGGAGUAACCUGCCCUUGACUUUGGGAUAACUUCAGGAAACUGGGGCUAUUACCGGAUAGGAGCUCCUGCUGCAGGGUGGGGGUUGGAAAGUUUCGGCGGUUGGGGAUGGACUCGCGGCUUAUCAGCUUGUUGGUGGGGUAGUGGCUUACCAAGGCUUUGACGGGUAGCCGGCCUGAGAGGGUGACCGGCCACAUUGGGACUGAGAUACGGCCCAGACUCCUACGGGAGGCAGCAGUGGGGAAUAUUGCACAAUGGGCGGAAGCCUGAUGCAGCAACGCCGCGUGCGGGAUGACGGCCUUCGGGUUGUAAACCGCUUUCGCCUGUGACGAAGCGUGAGUGACGGUAAUGGGUAAAGAAGCACCGGCUAACUACGUG